This 634-nucleotide ribosomal RNA is filed under the name uncultured bacterium. RNAcentral's name for it is "bacterial SSU rRNA". It matches the Rfam family "Bacterial small subunit ribosomal RNA", at positions 8 to 650 of the family's 1533-position model. The record is from RNAcentral.
AGAGUUUGAUCCUGGCUCAGGAUGAACGCUAGCGGCAGGCCUAAUACAUGCAAGUCGAACGGUGAUAGCAAUAUCAUAGUGGCGCACGGGUGCGUAACACGUAUGCAACCUACCUAUUAUUGGGGGAUAGCCUUUGGAAACGGAGAUUAAUACCGCAUAAUACGAUUGACUGGCAUCGGUUGAUUGUUAAAGCUUCGGCGAUAAUAGAUGGGCAUGCGUCCAAUUAGUUAGUUGGUUAGGUAACGGCUGACCAAGACGAUGAUUGGUAGGGGAUCUGAGAGGAUAAUCCCCCACACUGGCACUGAGAUACGGGCCAGACUCCUACGGGAGGCAGCAGUAGGGAAUAUUGGGCAAUGGGCGGAAGCCUGACCCAGCCAUGCCGCGUGAAGGAGGAAGGCGUUAUGCGUUGUAAACUGCUUUUUUAUAGGAAGAAGGAUCCCUUGCGAGGGAAGGUGGCGGUACUAUAAGAAUAAGCACCGGCUAACUCCGUGCCAGCAGCCGCGGUAAUACGGAGGGUGCAAGCGUUGUCCGGAUUUAUUGGGUUUAAAGGGUGCGUAGGCGGUUUAUUAAGUCAGUGGUGAAAGACGGUCGCUCAACGAUUGCAGUGCCAUUGAUACUGGUAGACUUGAGUGAG